Molecule: ribosomal RNA, 301 nt
Filed under: uncultured bacterium
Lineage: Bacteria
Description: partial 16S ribosomal RNA
Rfam family: Bacterial small subunit ribosomal RNA
Source: RNAcentral
CAGCAGCCGCGGUAAUACGGAGGGUGCAAGCGUUAAUCGGAAUUACUGGGCGUAAAGCGUGCGUAGGCGGUUCGUUAAGUCUGUUGUGAAAGCCCCGGGCUCAACCUGGGAAUGGCAAUGGAUACUGGCGAGCUAGAGUGUGUCAGAGGAUGGUGGAAUUCCCGGUGUAGCGGUGAAAUGCGUAGAGAUCGGGAGGAACAUCAGUGGCGAAGGCGGCCAUCUGGGACAACACUGACGCUGAGGCACGAAAGCGUGGGGAGCAAACAGGAUUAGAUACCCGCGUAGUCCCUGUCUCUUAUAC